GUAUGGUUCUGUUACGCUGCUCGUCUGCCAUCCUCCCUCUCACGAUCUUCACGCUCUCUUUCCCUGUCAUUCUCUCUUGCUCGGCUGCCGCUGUAAUGCCUUCCAUUCCUCUCUAGUGCCCUUCUCCUACUCUAGUCCAGACCAAGAACUUCAUACUAUAGGCCUGGAAACAUUUAAUUCCACCCCCACUACGCAGUCUUCAACAGAGCCCACCCCUAGAAGCCCUGUAACUGUAUCCCAUCUGUUUCCUAUGUUGCUGACCGCCUGCACUAAUUGCAAUUUAGCAGGGCAGCGAGGCUCCUCCCUUUUUCAACAGUGUCUGACUUGGAAUUUUCAAUUCCCCCCCCAACUGGAGGCCAGACCUGUUCAAUUACUAGCAGCAACAGGCCCAACCCCGACGCCCCUGACUGACGCCCAUGGUGCAUGGCAAGGGAGGAUCACGGGUUUAAAAAAAUUAUUAUUAUUUUUUUUUUAUAGGGAAGUUUGCACAGAGUUCAGAUUUAAAGCCUGUUUUUAAGUGAAGAUGUCUUCAGGCAUACAUGUUAUGUACCAUACUGGAUACAGCAUAUAUGCUAGACACACAGCCUGACACGUGAUGAAUUGGUUAAUCCACAGAGCUAAUUGAGAUGUACAGUAAUGGAUCAAGCCAUCUAUUGAUGGUGUAGUGAUACAGUACAUUGCUUCCCAAUGGAAUGCACUGACUUUCCCAGUGGAAUAGGUUGACAUUUUGAUGGAAUAAAUUGGCAUCAAGGAGGCAUAUCAAACUAGCAGCUCAGUGAUGAGGAAUAGGGCAUGUUUGGAAUUAGUUGAGUAAUUCCCCAAACCUCUCUCUAACCUCCCCCAGAACCCCCCUGUUCUUACCCCCAUCAGAAAACUGACAAGACCUACAAAUGACAGCGAGCCGAUCUAUUCCCAGUCCUUACAGCCUGCUCCACUCUGUCGCGCUAUUUAGGUCAACGGCACUGUAGGUCCAAGAUAAUCCCAAGAUUGCCACCUUAUUUUAAGAAAGUUGAGAGAAUUUCGAGUUCACGAUGAGGGAAAAACUCUAAAAAUGGCUCAGGUUGGUUGUCCCAGAGGGACGCUAGCUGUCCUUGUGAUAGAUGGCCCCUUCAUCCAGGCCUUAUGCCCCAUCUCUAAGAGCCUCCCACCCCAGUCCCUUCACCGGCACUGGAGGAUGAGAGGCACUGGGGAGGGAUCCACUCCUCGCUGCUCUAUGCCCGCUUAAGGCUGGGGUCGGAGCCCUCCUCCCUGGAUGCGCUCUGCCCCUCUACCUCUGCUUAUAGCUUCUUAAGCUUUUUGCAUGUCACCACUGCUGGAGCCAAAAAGUAGUUUUUAUUUUAGGGACUAUCGUAAUAUGCAUGUAUUCUUAUUUUAUUUUUUUCAUGGUUUGUUUUCUGGAACACAAUUUCGUUAGUGUUUUAUAAAAGUAGCCUACAAUGUGUAGACUUGGACAGUAUAGCAAGAGUAUUAAACUUAAGCCAGACUAGAUGGCCAGAAACUGAAUCUGUCCUAUGUAGUGCUAGGAUAAGUCAAAAUCAGUCAGCUAAUCACACAGUGAGGGAGAUGGGCCUUGGAGCUAGAAUAAAAUCACUAAUUGGAAAUGACACUGCUGUACCCAAUGGAAUUUGAUCUCUUAUCAUAUGGUGACUCCUUUUCUCUGCAGCAAAAAUAUUUCACUGUGUUCAUGCUUUUGUGAAUAGUAGUACUAGUAUCAUUUUUAACAAUACCAGAUUGUAGGCUUACCACCUCGGGAAUCGAUGCACAAGUGGAAUGUGACUUAAACGCGCAAUAUCCUCAUACCUUCACGUGUAUACCUAAAAUGCACUUCUAGUCCUUUUUUAAAGGUGUCUAGCUCUUUCUUGUCUAGAGGAAAACCUUUUCUUGAUUUAGCUAAGCUGUGAUCCCUACUGGAAGGCUGUGUCUUAUCAAGUAAACUAUUUGACUCAUCUGCACAGUGCCAAAAUGAUUGAGCUGAUUUACACUUUCUCAUCUUGAAGAAAUGCCUCCCUUUUUUGAGUCUUCCUGCCUGACAUAUUUUGGGAUGUGAGACGUUUGUUGGACCAUGUUCAAUAGUCCAUUUAAAACGGGGAUUAGUAAUGAGUGUCCCUUUUUUUUAAAAUUAUUUUUGUAUUUUUUUGAAUCCCACACACUUUAGCACUCAACUCCAAUUACUGUGGGGAGUAGAUGACGUAAUAUAAUAACCUCUGUAUCUCUAACAACUGAGGACCACACAAAGUGAUGUUCUCAUCAGAGGUUGAAUGAGUAUUACAAAACCGUGUUUGACAGUUUCUUAUCAUAUGUUUUUUGGGUCGUGUUUGUGAUUCCAGUCAGGGAGUGUGGGCUCCCUGUUGCCAGUGGCUCUGAUUCCUGUUCACGGUGCGGUAGCUGUUUUGUAAUUUGUUUACUUGCGUCGAGCCAAAAUACUACAUUGUUUUCGGCUAGAUGGAAAGUCCAUCCGUGUAUGUGGCCUAGUUUGAACAAUGCAUAAUGGAUCUCAAUGGGAGGUGAAGGUCCAGACCAAGACAUCCCACCCUUGAGUUGUGUACUGAUGAACAACAUGUCCGCGGUGCUGUGGGUUUAGGGUGGCUGCAGGGUCAUGCUGACCGGCCACAAUGCCUAUACAGAGCACCAAGCUACAAUAACAGGAUACUAUUAACUCGUUGACGUAAGCUGUUGGGUAGUUUAUCAAAUGUACUAUAGCAUUGGAUUUGAAAAGAAACGGAGCCAUUGAUUUGGAUCUCUUGGCUCCAUUUUAUAGUAAAUAACCAUAUAGAAGGAGAAGUGGACCUUGUUGCAUUUGGAAAAAGUACCAACUGCAUAUUUGACCUGUUCCUGCCGGAGAUAUUGCCUCAAAGCAGGGGACCUUAGUCUCUGUUUGCCUGGGGAUUGCAGAGGCAAGCAGACAGCUGAUGUGUACCUCCCAAUAUAGCUGCCAAUUCUCCACUAUGAUAGCUUGUCUCAGGGUGUUGGAAAAUUACAGGGGGGGGGACCAUUAGGCUGAAAAGGGAUCAUGUGAUUAUUGGAGCAGCUUGGAACAUCUUGCGGAUUAUGACCCAGGAUACCCGUGGUACUGUGCCAUUGAGGGGGAUCCUUGUUUGACUCUGUCACUUCAGCUGUGGCGUGUGGGAAUAGCAGCAGGUCAGCGUGCUUAGUGGCGUAUUGACAGACUGUAGCACAUGGGGGGACAUGAUUUAGGAAGCCUCAACACCAGGACUAUUGUCCAGCUUGUUAUGUGUGCUGUGUUAGCUGGGUGUUCUUAUUGAUUACACCGAUAGUCGGGUGGGACAAGGCCAGAGUAGUGCGACGUAGUCAUGCUUGCAAAUUGGUCUGUAGGUCAUCUGAGGAUGAGGCUAGUCCUGUAAAUCAAUGAUUUAAUUUCACUCCGGUUAUAUUUUUGAGUCGGAGGUAGUGCACUGUAUUCAUUCCUGGGAUGAGUCAUCUCAGUACAUUAAAGAUGUUGAAUUGUCGUUCUUCUGUUUGAUUGAUAUCGUACCUAAUUUACAAGAUUAUGGUAUGACGCUUAAACAUGAUUAUAUUGACAUUGCGUUACUUACAGACAUCUGCAUUAUUGAAGACACGAGGAAGAGUGUUCCCCUUUGUAUGUAGGCCUAUAGGUUGUGUUCAGAUGGGCGCUCAUUUGGUAAUCAAAUGAUUUAUGUUAAUUAGGUCAUUAUAGAAAUAACACUUUUUUAAAUUUAACUCUCGUUUAUACUAGGCUGCAGUCGCAUGACAUUAGUCUCUGGCCCAUUUUAAAAGGCAUUGCAAGUUAAAACAGGGAGCAUUUAUCCUAUGUGACCUUUGCUUCUAGGCACAUUUUAUAUCUCGUCCCUGUUGUCACAUUCAGUUCUAUGAUUCCCUGUAGUCUUUUAUGUUGGUGUUCGGGAGAUGUGAAGUGACGGCUCAACGGUUCUCAGUAAGGUCGUUGAUAUUAACCAGAUAGAGGAAGGAUAGAUUGAGUGUACCAGUCCUUUCUCCAUCACAAGUACUUUUGUAGGACAUACCAGACACAGAGUACCUGAUUUUUAACAAAACUCCAGGCCAUAUUCUAUGCAGCUGUACUUAAAAAAUAUAUUCAUAGCAAAAGAUCUGAUUGUGAUGUAAGUAGACCACAAUGCAUAUGCUAUCACACAGUAUAACAGUUUUGUUUCUAGAUACAAUUUUCUUAUUUCAUUUGGAGCUGCAUCAUUUUGACCAUACAAGUCAUUUCCAAUGUUGCCUUAUUGAAAAUUCUCUUCAAUGGCAACAACUUGAGACGUUGAGUCAGCAAUGCAUGCUGACUGACGCCCUCAUCCAUUACUGACUUCAAACCGUCCCAUGCUAUGCAUGACUGCUUGGGCUGCAACAAAAUGGCCUCCAUCGACUAUAACUGGAAGUGCAUGGGAGUUUGAGUGUGUAUGAUUUUUUUUUAUUCCCUCCUCCUUCCCUUCCCUGCCUCUGUGCAUGGCCGACGCAGACAUAAGGGUGGUGCUGGGCUCUGACACACCCUCCUCAGAAGGGGUGGCCACCUCCCUUCGCUUCGCCAGGCCUUCUCAACCCGACUCAUCUUCUCCCGCUAACUACGGGAGCGACCCAUCAGGUCAGCCUGACGGAAAGCAAGAUGAUUCACCGACUGUGACGUCCCCCGUGUCUGAGAGGAUUAAGGCACUGGAGGCCCUGGCAGCAAAGAAGGAGCCCAAGAACGACGGCGGCUUCCCUCACUUCAAAGAGUGCCACUAUGAGACGUCUCCUACUGAGGCGCCAACAGAGAGCACCUCACCCUUCCAGAAAAAAGGAGCCUCCAUUGAUCAGGAAUCGCCAGAAUCCCCCUUUGAGGUCAUGGGAGAAGCCCGACAAGGGAGUGAGUUUGAAGAUAGUGCAGACUGGAUGAGAGCUCACUUACCCCCUGUGCCCGACUUUGAAGAUGCUCUUGUAUCAGAGGAGGAUGGCAAAUCCCAAGAGCUAAAAGUGGCAGAUAAAGUGGUGCCUGAUCAUCCAGAGGCGUUUGCCUGUGUCCCUGAUGCUUACAUGGACUCUCCCAUUGAAAGGCCCGAACUAAAAAAUGUCUUCAAAGACCCAGCGCAGCAGUCUAGCGUCGAGGAAGAAUUUGACCUGAGCUUCCUACCUAAAGCUUACAUAACAGACACCCAAGGCCCUCCUGACCUUCAUUCUGAGCUCACUCCUUCUCCUGCCCCUCCUGCUGGUUUGGACUCUCCCUCUCCCUCUGACACUAAAGAGAAGGAUUUGAAGACCAAGCAGGCCCCAUGUGGUGGUGACCUGGCGCUCCCAGAGGUAGUCGACAGCUCAGGAGACUCUGAGGACACCGUCAUCGAGGACACAGCCUCUGUUCCUGGCCCCUCUUUGUCAAGUGAUGCUACACCUUCCCACAAACCCUCUGUUCCUUCUCUCCCUACUGAAGAAAGGGAAACCCCGCCAGCAAAGCAGCCAAUGCAGGUUCCUACCAUCAAUGUUAUUGAGACGGACGAGCCGAAUUACAGCGAUGAGGAGAUGGAGAUUGAAAUGGAGGACGAAAGUUAUGAAGUUGUAGAAGACCCUGUAAAAGAGGCACCAAAAACGCCUGAGCCACAACCAGAUGUGACUAAAAAGGAAUUUUCCCAAAUUCCUCCCUUAGAAUAUGAGGGUUAUUCUCCUCCCUCCUCUCCUGUCGACUCUGAAUACUCACCUAAACACAAGAUCCUGAAAUCUGAAUUGGAUACAGAUAAUAUGAAUACCACAGUACCUAAUGAUGAGUCAAAGGGCUCAAGUGCUGAGGUUUCACAAGCACAGAAAGUGGAGUCUGACCAAUCACAGACUCCCAAUGAGUCUAAUGGAAAGUCUUCCCCUUCCACUGCCAAACCUUCUUCUGAGAAAACCGCAGGGAACCUUUCAGACUUUCCAGAAUAUGAUGAAGAUGACUGGUCAACUGGCGCGCAAGAUAUCUUAAUUAAAUCGAGCUCUGCUGAUAUUGCAGCUCAGGAUCUUCCACUUUGCCCCUCAUCCAAGUUUGAAGAGAAGCCAGAGUCUGAUAUUAAAGAGGAUUAUAUGCAGACAGUUGAGCUUUCAAAAUCCAACUACAUGGAGGAUGACGCAAUCCGUAAAUAUGACCGACAGUCUUUUGAGGAUGACGACGCACUACCAUCCAUGAAUGACACCAUUGGUGAUAAAGAGCUGAACUUUAACACUGUACGUGAGCCUUCUCCUUCCGAUCCAACCUCACAGAUCCAUAUUGGAACACUACUCCCUCAAAACAAUGCAACCACUGUGGAGCAGGAUAUCCCCUCGAUGGCUGAAGAGGACUCCUUCUCCAAGCUAGUUGGAGGCCAGCCGUCUCCCAGGGAGUUUCCCAAAGAUCCACUCACCUCUUUCCAGAGUGAACUGCCUGGCAGCACCCUGGAGCCCAAGACUGAGAAGAAAUUGAACGAUGAAAUCCUCAUUACAGAUAGCAUUGUCAACAGCGAGACACUUCCACCUCAGGAAGCUGAAGCAGGACACCAGUCAACAGACAAUACCAGUGACCCAGAAAGCAUUGAGCCGGACUGCUCAGUCUCUGGUGCCACGGACAGCUUCGUCGAGUUCAUGAGGGAGUGCCUGAAGUCACGACAGGACGAAGAUCCAGAAGACCUCCAUCAAGAUCUCACAGCCAAGGAUGAGUGUCCUAAAACGGGCGCCCCUCCCUCCCAGUCCACACCGACCAUGGUCAUGGAUCUGGAGCAGGAACGCCUCACUAUCAAUGCACUCAAAGAGUUGGGCAGCAGCCAAGAGGAGGAGGCUGACCUCCAGUCUAGUAUCAAGGCUUCUGAGAAAUCCCAGUCUUCCUUUAUAUCGACAACCUCCGACCCUCCUUCUCCCCAAAACAAACCUGCUUCCGACGGUGUAUAUUCCAAAGAGGUAGAGGUCAUCGACGUGUGGGUGGCAGAGGCCUACCACCUCGCAGAGCAUGUCUUGGCAGCAAUACUAACGCACUUGUCAGGUAACAUCUCUUCCCUCUGGGAUCUAUGCCUGCUAACCUCACACAAGCAAAGCACAAUGAUCACUCUUCCCCUCUCUCUCUCACUUGCACCUUUCUCCCAUCUUGGUCCUCCUAUUCAAAAUAGGAGCACACUAACUAUAUAAUCACCAUGUUGAUUUUCUUUUUUAUUCUGAUACAGGCACCAUGGCUGUAUUACUGAAAUAUUUAUCUUACAGUCAAGCUUUCUGAAGGUCUCCACGUUCAGAGUGCAGUUAUUACGGAAGUCAAAAUGGUCAAACUAUAUAUUGUGCUGUGUGUGUAUUUUCAAAAUGACCCCCCCCCAUGUCCUUAAGCUUGGCAGUAAUCAUGGUCGGACAGUGGGUGGUGGGCAGUUCAGACGUGGCGUCCUGGUGUCUGCUUGCAAUGUCCCUGGAAGUCAGGCGGAAUAGUCGAUCCACCAGUGUUGGGUUUCUGCUUUGGGCGACGUUCCACGCCACAGUGCACUUGCACAGGACGGGAGACAAUCAUUCCAGAGACUGAUGGUCAUUUUGAAGGAGCGGACUUUACUUAACCUUUUCUUUUAUGAUGAUGUCAUUCAUUAUUAUGAUCCUGCUGAAUUGGAUGUUAGAAAGCAUGACCAGACUCAGAGAGAAUUAUGCGAUAAAUGCUCUGAUAUUCAUGGGUUGUGGGCUGCUCUCAGAUCUGUAUGUGCCUAAGUGUGAGUUGGCAAAAGUCCAUACAGAUGGGACCAGGCUAGGGGGCAUUGGUCCUCUUUUUAUUUUGUGUGACAAUUGUCACAGUAGGCUGAGAUGCAGGGUACCAAUCGCUCUAAUUACUCUUGUCCUCUCCUCUUGAAUCAUGGUACAGCACCCCCCCCCUCCUUCCCUUAUCUGGAAAAUUAUAUGCCGUGUGUGUGGCCAAUUUGGUAUUAAUCGUACAAAGGACUUCUGCUCAAUAUCUAUCUCAAAUCGUCAAAUCGAAUGUUAUUUGUCACAUGCACCGAAUACAACAGGUGUAGACCUUACAGUGAAAUGCUUAUUUACCAGCCCCUAACCAACAAUGCAGUUUCAGAAAGUAUUUACAAAAAUUAACUGAAGUUAAAAAAAAACUGUUUUGACAUAUCCAAUAUUGCAUACGUUAUCACUGCUGUCAUUGUUACAUACCGUCUAACAAGCUGUUAAGUCUAUUCAUAUACAUUUACUGUAAUGGUCGUCUGCUUUUGAUUUACCCAGUGGCAGGCUAGCCCUCUACUUCACAGUGUAGAGUUAAAGCAAAUAGGGGACCUCUUCCUAUUCUCUUGCCGCUCAGUGCAAAAAUGAAAUCCAAACCUGGCACACAUUGACUGGUAUGCAGACGAGUGAAUGCAGGAUGCACUCAAACCCGUACAGUCGCUGCGAGCUUAACCUACACCACGGGCAUGCUAUGGAAUGGUAGGUCAUCACUGAGGCAACCAGUAACUAGGGGAAGGCGUAUGCCAUGCAGUCGUGGAGGGAAUGAUAAAGAAUAUUACAGUCAAGUACUGUUUGAAAGAUGCUUUAGCACAAUGUGUAUAUAGUAAAGGUUGCAUUUUUAUUCUAACAUAUUGAUCAAUAAUGCACUAUAUAUACGGAGUUUACCCAACAUUGGCAGCGCCUUCCUCAUAUUGAGUCCCCCACCCCUUUUGCCCUCAGAACAGCCUCAAUGCAUCUGGGCAUAGACUCUACAAGUUGUCAAAAGCAUUCCACAGGGAUGCUGGCCCAUGUUGACUCCAAUGCUUCCCACAGUUGUCAUGUUGGCUGGAUAUCCUUUGGGCAGUGGACCAUUCUUGAUACACGGGAAACUGUUGAGCGUGAAAAACCCAGCAGCAUUGCAUUUCUUGACACAAACCGAUGAGCCUGGCACCUACUACCAUACCCUGUUCGAAGGCACUUCAAUAUUUUGUCUUGCCCAUUCCUCUUCUGAAUGGCACACGUACACAAGCCAUGUCUCAAGGCUUAAAUCCUUCUUUAACCCGUCUCCUCCCCUUCAUCUACAGUGAUUUGAAGUGGAUUUAACAAGUGACAUCCAUAAGGGAUGAUCGAUUGACCAGGUGGCUCCAGGUGAACACUGUUCAAUGGAAGGAGCAGGUGUUCAUAAUGUUGACUAGUGGUUACUGUAUAUUUGAAGACCAACAUUUUAAAAAGCAUAGCUUAAAUAUCUGGGUCUAUUUUUCUCUCAAUCUCCUACAUGUAUAGGAUUUCUCUUUUUAAGUGGCAUUUUUUUCCAUUUGAACCUUGUCCUGUCCCUCAGCUUCCACAGUGUUGCUGCCUCAACUCGGCUGGUUAUAAGGCGUGGAAUGCCUGGCUAGGUGAGUUAAGUUUAUUUUAGUUGGCUUGGCUCCAUUGUUGAUAAUUGCAGAGUGGGUAUACCAGUUUUCCAUCAAUGGGCCUCCAAAAGAAAUGGAUAUACUCCUGCUGAUGUGAAUCAGUCAUCUUCCCAAAUAGGGUACACAUUUGGACUGUGGUAUCUUGGGCUAGUAAGAAAAUCUUGACUUGCUGCCAGGCCUUUAAAGAUAAGUUCAAAUCAGGCAGUCCAAUUUCAGUAAGAUUUGUGUUAAUCCUGUGUUUAUGUGGACUGUGAGGGAUGGGGCCAGCCUGCCAGUCAGUCGGAAGGAAGUGGAUCAUGUGAAGACUAGAAUAAAAGUUACCCACCCAUGCCAAUGUGUGUAGUCACCUAUGGUAUUUGAAUUGCAUAAUGAAGUUUUAGCAGCUGGUUUAGCUUCACAGGAGUAAAGAAUUCCAGUCUGUGUCCAGGCUGUUGUAUUAGGUCAAACACACACACGUACUGCCAAGCAGCAGGAGGUGGUGUGGUGCCUGUACCUUUAAGAGCUGCUUGCUGUCCAGUGAGGUAGAAAGCAGCUCGGAUAAUGAACGAGGGCCGUCUGCCCAGGCUGCCUCCCUGUGGGUACCAGCAAGCAUGCUGGGAGGGACUCGGGACCCCUGCAGUGCUGGGUGAGGAAACCCCAGUUGUUCACUCGGUGCUGCUCAGCAGAUAGUCAGGCGGCAUCAGGAACAUUAGAGUGCUGUCUGGCCUCCUGCAACAGGGGCGCUGCUGCUCUGCUCUGUCAUCAAGGACUUGGUGCACUGGCGAGACCCCAAGAAGUCUGGCGUGGUGUUCGGCCUGUCCCUGCUGACGCUCCUGUCCCUGGCGGCGUUCAGCGUCAUCAGCGUUGUCUCCUACCUGCUCCUCGCCCUGCUCUGUGUCACCAUCUCCUUCCGCAUCUACAAGGCUGUCGUCCAGGCCGUGCAGAAGUCCGAUGACGGACACCCCUUCAA
This is a non-coding RNA of Salmo salar (Atlantic salmon), 10218 nucleotides long. Lineage: Eukaryota; Metazoa; Chordata; Actinopteri; Salmoniformes; Salmonidae. The record is from RefSeq and is a predicted model, not a curated record.